UUUAACUAAAGAGAAUAUAUUUUGUAAACUCCCGAAGUAAGAAGAUCUAAUUAUUUAUGUUUCUUAUUUUUUGAGUAGUAGUAUAUAGUGUAGCAUAACUAUCUAAAGAAAAAUAAUUAGGGGUGAAAGGCUUAUCCUUAUUCUUAUUGAUAUCUGGAUUAAAUCAAAAAAUAUUUAGUAUUAUUAGGUCAUUUUUACAACACUAAGAUUGUAAAAUCUAAAAAGCAUAUAUAUCACCCGUUUGAUGCGUUAUUAAUAUAAAGGCAUAAAUAACUAUAAAAAAUAUCUUUAUAAUUAACUUUUAUUUUAUAGGUUUAUAGGUUUAGUAAUAUUUUGAAAAUUUUAAUAGUGUUUAAAUGAGUAUAUAUAAUAUAAAAGUAUAAGGAACUCGGCAAACUCAUCCCUCAACUGUUUAUCAAAAACAUAGCUAGUUGAAUAUUAUAAUUAGUAGUUCUCUGCCCGGUGAGUUUUUAACGGCCGCAGUACACUGACUGUGCAAAGGUAGCGUAAUAAUUUGGCUUUUAAAUGAAGUCGAGUAUGAAUGAGUGAAUGGGGGAAUGCUGUCUUAUACUUUUUAUUUAAAAUUUACUUAGGAAGUGAAAAUUCUUUCAAGUUUAAUCAAAAGACGAGAAGACCCUAAAAAUUUUUACUAAAGGUGUAAAAUAUUUCUUUUAUGUUUUUGUUGGGGCAACAGGUUACUACUUAAAAAUAACUAUAUAUAUUAUAUGUUUAUAUCGAGUUUUACUAAUAAUAAUCAAAUUACUUUAGGGAUAACAGCAUAAUUUUAUUAAAAAGAUUGUGACCUCGAUGUUGGAUUAGGAUCUAUUUAAAUUAACCGUUUAAAUAGCUGGUUCUGUUCGAACUAUGGUUUCCU
RNAcentral lists this ribosomal RNA (874 nucleotides) under Mentissa canalifera. RNAcentral describes it as "partial 16S ribosomal RNA". Lineage: Eukaryota; Metazoa; Mollusca; Gastropoda; Stylommatophora; Clausiliidae. The record is from RNAcentral.